UACGUGGGGGGCAAGCGUUGUUCGGAAUUACUGGGCGUAAAGGGCUCGUAGGUGGCCAACUAAGUCAGACGUGAAAUCCCUCGGCUUAACCGGGGAACUGCGUCUGAUACUGGAUGGCUUGAGUUCGGGAGAGGGAUGCGGAAUUCCAGGUGUAGCGGUGAAAUGCGUAGAUAUCUGGAGGAACACCGGUGGCGAAGGCGGCAUCCUGGACCGACACUGACACUGAGGAGCGAAAGCCAGGGGAGCAAACGGG
Molecule: ribosomal RNA, 253 nt
Filed under: uncultured bacterium
Lineage: Bacteria
Description: partial 16S ribosomal RNA
Rfam family: Bacterial small subunit ribosomal RNA
Source: RNAcentral